This 77-nucleotide transfer RNA is filed under the name Deltaproteobacteria bacterium. RNAcentral's name for it is "tRNA-Leu". It matches the Rfam family "tRNA". From Rfam's summary of the family: Transfer RNA (tRNA) molecules are approximately 80 nucleotides in length. Their secondary structure includes four short double-helical elements and three loops (D, anti-codon, and T loops). Further hydrogen bonds mediate the characteristic L-shaped molecular structure. tRNAs have two regions of fundamental functional importance: the anti-codon, which is responsible for specific mRNA codon recognition, and the 3' end, to which the tRNAs corresponding amino acid is attached (by aminoacyl-tRNA synthetases). tRNAs cope with the degeneracy of the genetic code in two manners: having more than one tRNA (with a specific anti-codon) for a particular amino acid; and 'wobble' base-pairing, i.e. permitting non-standard base-pairing at the 3rd anti-codon position. The record is from RNAcentral. Lineage: Bacteria; Pseudomonadati; Myxococcota; Myxococcia.
GCCGUAGUAGCCCAAUUGGCAGAGGCGUCUGGUUGAGGGCCAGGAGGUUGUGGGUUCGAAUCCCACCUACGGUACGA